GACGAACGCUGGCGGCAUGCCUAACACAUGCAAGUCGAACGAGACCUUCGGGUCUAGUGGCGCACGGGUGCGUAACGCGUGGGAACCUGCCCUUAGGUUCGGAAUAACUCCCCGAAAGGGGUGCUAAUACCGGAUAAUGUCUUCGGACCAAAGAUUUAUCGCCUUUGGAUGGGCCCGCGUUGGAUUAGCUAGUUGGUAGGGUAAAAGCCUACCAAGGCGACGAUCCAUAGCUGGUCUGAGAGGAUGAUCAGCCACACUGGGACUGAGACACGGCCCAGACUCCUACGGGAGGCAGCAGUGGGGAAUAUUGGACAAUGGGCGAAAGCCUGAUCCAGCAAUGCCGCGUGAGUGAUGAAGGCCUUAGGGUUGUAAAGCUCUUUUAACCGGGAUGAUAAUGACAGUACCGGGAGAAUAAGCUCCGGCUAACUCCGUG
Molecule: ribosomal RNA, 433 nt
Filed under: uncultured bacterium
Lineage: Bacteria
Description: partial 16S ribosomal RNA
Rfam family: Bacterial small subunit ribosomal RNA
Source: RNAcentral